RNAcentral lists this non-coding RNA (229 nucleotides) under Pongo abelii (Sumatran orangutan). The record is from RNAcentral. Lineage: Eukaryota; Metazoa; Chordata; Mammalia; Primates; Hominidae.
GGAAUCCGUUUCCUCUCCGCAUCUGUGGCAGAGAUGUCCCUGCCCCAACCGGUGGGUGUGCGGAUUCUGUGCGGAUUCGCACGGUGUUUGGCACGUGACAAGGUCUCACUGUGUCACCAAGGCUGGCUCAAUCACAGCUCACUGCAGCCUCGACCUCCUGGGUUCAAGCGAUCCUCCUGCCUCAGCCUCCCAAGUAGCUGGGACUAUAGGGAUGCACCAUCAUGCCCAG